UUACGGUCAAAUCACGCUGAAACACCGGUUCUCGUACGAUCACCGAAGUUAAGCAGCGUAGGGCCAGGUCAGUACUUAGAUGGGGGACCGCUUGGGAACACCUGGUACUGUAAG
This 114-nucleotide ribosomal RNA is filed under the name Acanthosepion pharaonis. The record is from RNAcentral. Lineage: Eukaryota; Metazoa; Mollusca; Cephalopoda; Sepiida; Sepiidae.